RNAcentral lists this ribosomal RNA (433 nucleotides) under uncultured bacterium. RNAcentral describes it as "partial 16S ribosomal RNA". It matches the Rfam family "Bacterial small subunit ribosomal RNA", at positions 29 to 507 of the family's 1533-position model. The record is from RNAcentral.
AACGAACGCUGGCGGCAUGCCUAACACAUGCAAGUCGAACGAGACCUUCGGGUCUAGUGGCGCACGGGUGCGUAACGCGUGGGAACCUGCCCGUAGGUUCGGAAUAACUCCCCGAAAGGGGUGCUAAUACCGGUUAAUGUCUUCGGACCAAAGAUUUAUCGCCUUUGGAUGGGCCCGCGUUGGAUUAGCUAGUUGGUAGGGUAAAAGCCUACCAAGGCGACGAUCCAUAGCUGGUCUGAGAGGAUGAUCAGCCACACUGGGACUGAGACACGGCCCAGACUCCUACGGGAGGCAGCAGUGGGGAAUAUUGGACAAUGGGCGAAAGCCUGAUCCAGCAAUGCCGCGUGAGUGAUGAAGGCCUUAGGGUUGUAAAGCUCUUUUACCCGGGAUGAUAAUGACAGUACCGGGAGAAUAAGCUCCGGCUAACUCCGUG